AACUUUCAACAACGGAUCUCUAGGUUCUCGCAUCGAUGAAGAACGCAGCGAAAUGCGAURCGUAGUACGAAACGCAAGUCGUGAAUCAUCGAAUCUUUGAACGCACAUUGCGCUGUGCGGCAUUCCGCACAGCAUGCCUGUUUGAGCAAUAUUUC
This 155-nucleotide ribosomal RNA is filed under the name Diutina mesorugosa. Its description in RNAcentral is "5.8S ribosomal RNA". It matches the Rfam family "5.8S ribosomal RNA". Rfam says of the family: 5.8S ribosomal RNA (5.8S rRNA) is a component of the large subunit of the eukaryotic ribosome. It is transcribed by RNA polymerase I as part of the 45S precursor that also contains 18S and 28S rRNA. Lineage: Eukaryota; Fungi; Ascomycota; Pichiomycetes; Serinales; Debaryomycetaceae. The record is from RNAcentral.